UUUUUUAUCUGAGAAGUUUGCAAACUUGGGUCAUUUAGAGGAAGUAAAAGUCCGUAACAAGGUUUCCGUAGGUGAACCUGCGGAAGGAUCAUUA
RNAcentral lists this ribosomal RNA (94 nucleotides) under uncultured Acaulospora. RNAcentral's name for it is "partial 18S ribosomal RNA". It matches the Rfam family "Eukaryotic small subunit ribosomal RNA", at positions 1739 to 1831 of the family's 1831-position model. The record is from RNAcentral. Lineage: Eukaryota; Fungi; Glomeromycota; Glomeromycetes; Diversisporales; Acaulosporaceae.